GACGAACGCUGGCGGCGUGCUUAACACAUGCAAGUCGAACGGAAAGUUCCUGCUAUUUUGGGUUGCUCGAGUGGCGAACGUGUGUGUAACACGGGAGUAUCCGGCCCUUGACUGUGGGAUAACUUCAGGAAAGUGGUGCUAAUACCGGAUAGGAGCUCAUGCUGCAUGGUGGGGGAGGAAAAGAUGAGGCGGUGGGGGAUGGACUCGCGGCUUGUCAGCUUGUUGGUGGGGUAGUGGCUUACCGAGGCGUGGACGGGUAGCCGGCCUGAGAGGGUGACCGGCCAGAUUGGGACUGAGAUACGGCCCAGACUACUCCGGGAGGCAGAAGUGGAGAGUAUUGCACAAUGGGCGGAAGCCUGAUGCAGUGACGCGGCGUGCGGGAUGACGACCUUCGGGUUGUAAAGCGCUUUCGCCUGUGACGAAGAGUGAGUGACGGUAAUGGGUAAAGAAGCACCGGCUAACUACGUG
This 468-nucleotide ribosomal RNA is filed under the name uncultured bacterium. Its description in RNAcentral is "partial 16S ribosomal RNA". It matches the Rfam family "Bacterial small subunit ribosomal RNA", at positions 28 to 507 of the family's 1533-position model. The record is from RNAcentral.